Molecule: ribosomal RNA, 224 nt
Filed under: Vibrio parahaemolyticus
Lineage: Bacteria; Pseudomonadati; Pseudomonadota; Gammaproteobacteria; Vibrionales; Vibrionaceae
Description: partial 23S ribosomal RNA
Rfam family: Bacterial large subunit ribosomal RNA
Source: RNAcentral
GUUGUAUGGUUAAGUGACUAAGCGUACACGGUGGAUGCCUUGGCAGUCAGAGGCGAUGAAAGACGUAGUAACUUGCGAUAAGCCCAGAUUAGGUAGUAACAACCAUUUGAGUCUGGGAUUUCUGAAUGGGGAAACCCACUUACAUAAGUAAGUAUCAUUAACUGAAUACAUAGGUUAAUGAGGCGAACCGGGGGAACUGAAACAUCUAAGUACCCCGAGGAAAA